This 981-nucleotide ribosomal RNA is filed under the name Triticum aestivum (bread wheat). RNAcentral's name for it is "partial small subunit ribosomal RNA". The record is from RNAcentral. Lineage: Eukaryota; Viridiplantae; Streptophyta; Magnoliopsida; Poales; Poaceae.
AUGCAGAUCGGCGGAGUUGCAGAUGAGACGCCGUGGAGGCGCCCCGAGCAGGGAGGUCGCGCUAAAGAGAGAUGGUCGCGGCGAAAGAUCCUUGAGUUUGACGUGUCUUCCUCAAUGGCUUUAAGAUUCGUGCAGAAAAAUCAAACGUUUCCACUGCCGGCAGAAAUGCAAGCACCAAACGGAAAAAGCGCGCAGGAGGGGAAUCGAGGAGGAGUAGGGGGGAGUCGGAUCCAUGGACCUGGCCGCGAAACGGGGCGGGCUUCCGCCGUUCCGUCCGGACCGACGGGUUCCACAUCGGAGGCGGGGAGCGGAGCACCGGAGGAGCCGCGGCCGCGGCGCAGGAGGCCGCCCCUCUGGCUCCGGGCCGCAUACAAGCGAUUGGUUCCACUUCUAUCUAGGGUUUCAGUCAACCUCCGAAUCCGGCCGCCGCCGCCUCCCAACAUCGACCGAGAUGAGGACAGAUUCAGCGCGCUCCCCGACGACGUCCUCCGAGGAAUCCUGGAGCGCCUCGACCUGCACGAGGUGGUCCGCGCCCGUGCAGUCUCCACGCGGUGGCGGCACCUCCCCCACCUGCUCCCGCGCCUGCAUCUCGACGUCCGCCACUUCGUCGGAGACAAUUCGGCGGUCCUGAUCACUGGGAAUUCUCCGGUGGCCGACGUCAUGGAGGCGUUCACGGGCGCGCUGUGCAGUUUACUGUCUGCAUGUCCUCCUCCGGCCCAGUGCAAGUGCGCCAUCAAGACCCUCAGCCUCCGCUUCUUCCCGAUGUCGGACCUGAGCUCCAUUGGCCACGCCGUCGAGGACGUUGUCGCCCGCGGUGAGAUUGAAUGUCUUGAAUUUCACACGUGCUCGCCAUACAGUUUACGGACUGGUUUCAACACUGAAGGGCUGCGUGCUGAGUUGGGGCAGCUGUUCAUGUCCUUCUCCGGUGCCUGUCCAGUUGCCUUCCGGUGGCUCACGAUGCUUAAAUUCAACGAGGUCUAA